GAGUUUGAUCCUGGCUCAGGACGAACGCUGGCGGCGUGCCUAAUACAUGCAAGUCGAGCGGACCUUUUAAAAGCUUGCUUUUGAAAGGUCAGCGGCGGACGGGUGAGUAACACGUGGGCAACCUGCCUGUAAGACUGGGAUAACUUCGGGAAACCGGAGCUAAUACCGGAUAAUAUAAGGAACCUCCUGGUUCUUUAUUGAAAGAUGGUUUCGGCUAUCACUUACAGAUGGGCCCGCGGCGCAUUAGCUAGUUGGUGAGGUAACGGCUCACCAAGGCAACGAUGCGUAGCCGACCUGAGAGGGUGAUCGGCCACACUGGGACUGAGACACGGCCCAGACUCCUACGGGAGGCAGCAGUAGGGAAUCUUCCACAAUGGACGAAAGUCUGAUGGAGCAACGCCGCGUGAGCGAUGAAGGCCUUCGGGUCGUAAAGCUCUGUUGUUAGGGAAGAACAAGUGCGAGAGUAACUGCUCGCACCUUGACGGUACCUAACCAGAAAGCCACGGCUAA
Molecule: ribosomal RNA, 510 nt
Filed under: Bacillus sp. F2-1
Lineage: Bacteria; Bacillati; Bacillota; Bacilli; Caryophanales; Bacillaceae
Description: bacterial SSU rRNA
Rfam family: Bacterial small subunit ribosomal RNA
Source: RNAcentral